AGACAGCAUUGAGGAAGAAGUCUAUACACCACAGACUUGUACCCGGAUUGUAUGAAGUGCUUAAAAAUUAAUUUAAGGGAUGUCCUUGGUGGGUCAGUGCUUGAGACGCCUCUGCCUGCCAAUGCAGGGGACACAGCUUCAAGCCCUGGGCCGGGAGGAUCCCACGCACCCCGGAGCAGCUGAGCGUGUGCAGCAGUUAUGAGACCGAGCUCCGCAACUGGAGAGGUGACCACGGUGGGAAGCCCGCCCACUGUGAGUGGACAAUGGCAACCAGAGAGCAGCCGACACACGGCCACACAGACCCAGUGCUGCUAAAGAUAAAAAUUUAAACCGAUUUUCAAAAUGGACAGAAUACUCACAGACUCUUAAGGAACGAUGCAUAAAAUGGUUCCGCGUAUGAAAAAGGUUAAAUGUCACAGACGGUUAUCAGGGAAAUACAGAAUACAGGUUAAAACCAGUCAGAUACCAUUAAAAUGGUUAAAACAAACAGAAAGACUGAUGUGACGGGUUCUGAGGAAACAGAGAAGGUACCGUGGUGCAGCUUUGGGGUUCCGCCCAGCAGACCCCCACAUCCGUUCAGAGCAGGCAAUGGCCAUGACGUACCUAGGUGACAAGGUCAACUCCGGACAAGCCAACAGCUGAGAGGCCUGUGUGUUACCCACACAUGGGACAGGAAACAGGAGGAAGCCUCUGGGUAGAUCCCUAAUCGGGAACAGGGAUCGACUGGAAGCAUAGUGUGCUCUUGUAGUGGGAGAGCGAGCUGGGGGGCAUACGGACUGGAAUUUGCAGAACGGAAUGUGGGGCAGGAAGGAGCCACCGAGAAAGAGGGUCCAGAAACGUGCAGACGAGUCUCCGAGUCUGGCUCUGUCCAUCUGUCCACGGCUAAGUGUGACCCCCCGAGAAUGAGCCUAGAACACAUUCCAAGGAGAGACUAACUUGUGGGAAGCUGUGACCUCAACAGGCCAAGGCAGGCCCCUCACCCAACACCCAGGGCACCCGUGUGCCCUCUCAGGUCAGAUUCCUUCUCAGGACGCUUCCAGAACGAGCUUCAAAAUGAACCGACGUGCAUCAGUAAACUGCCACCAGAAUAAACAAAGUUUUUAAAAUAGCGCAACAUAACCCAACGCAGCAUUAACGCAUGAAUUCUGAAACCCAAUGAGGAUUUCUAGACCUGGAAAGACACAGUCACCAGAGGGGCCCAGAGAAAGCGGCCAGGUUCACGCAGGUCAGAGGCGCUGGCGGCCGGAACCGCCCUGCUUGCCGGCCGGGCGGCGACACCAGGUCUCCCUCCUUGCCUGCUGGGUGGUGAGAGGCGGGGUGGGAUCCGAGGAGAAAUGGCUGCCCAAGAAGGGCCUCCCAGCCCUGCCGGACGCCGGCUCGUCCAGGCCCGUCCCGACGGACAGCUUCGCAGACGCGGGCGGCUUCCGACGAGCAGCAAACGCCGACCAGUCAGAUGACGGAUGCCUGGAGACCUGCUGUAACAGCGCGCGGUGCAGAAGCUGUUUUCGGCUGUUCACGAAGCACAAGCUGGUGUAUAAAUUGAGUGGGAUUCUAGGCAGUUUAAUUCUUAGCAACUCCUUUGAGUUAAAUCU
Bos taurus (domestic cattle) is the source of this 1592-nucleotide long non-coding RNA. Lineage: Eukaryota; Metazoa; Chordata; Mammalia; Artiodactyla; Bovidae. The record is from Ensembl.